Molecule: ribosomal RNA, 1542 nt
Filed under: Frischella japonica
Lineage: Bacteria; Pseudomonadati; Pseudomonadota; Gammaproteobacteria; Orbales; Orbaceae
Description: 16S ribosomal RNA
Rfam family: Bacterial small subunit ribosomal RNA
Source: RNAcentral
UUGAAGAGUUUGAUCAUGGCUCAGAUUGAACGCUGGCGGCAGGCUUAACACAUGCAAGUCGAACGGUAACAUGGGUGCUUGCACCUGAUGACGAGUGGCGGACGGGUGAGUAAAGUAUGGGGAUCUGCCGAAUGGUGGGGGACAACAGUUGGAAACGACUGCUAAUACCGCAUAAAGUCGCGAGACCAAAGGGGGUGCUUAAGUUUACUUAGGUGCACUUGCCAUUUGAUGAACCCAUAUGGGAUUAGCUAGUUGGUGAGGUAAUGGCUUACCAAGGCGACGAUCUCUAGCUGGUCUGAGAGGAUGACCAGCCACACUGGAACUGAGACACGGUCCAGACUCCUACGGGAGGCAGCAGUGGGGAAUAUUGCACAAUGGGGGAAACCCUGAUGCAGCCAUGCCGCGUGUAUGAAGAAGGCCUUCGGGUUGUAAAGUACUUUCGGUGGUGAGGAAGUUGUGUGUAUGAAAAGUGCAUAUAAUUGACGUUAGCCACAGAAGAAGCACCGGCUAACUCCGUGCCAGCAGCCGCGGUAAUACGGAGGGUGCGAGCGUUAAUCGGAAUGACUGGGCGUAAAGGGCAUGUAGGCGGAUGAUUAAGUUAGGUGUGAAAGCCCCGGGCUCAACCUGGGAAUAGCAUUUAAAACUGGUCGUCUGGAGUACUGUAGAGGGAGGUAGAAUUCCACGUGUAGCGGUGAAAUGCGUAGAGAUGUGGAGGAAUACCGGUGGCGAAGGCGGCCUUCUGGACAGAUACUGACGCUGAGAUGCGAAAGCGUGGGGAGCAAACAGGAUUAGAUACCCUGGUAGUCCACGCUGUAAACGAUGUCGAUUUGGAGUUUGUUGCCUAGAGUGAUGGGCUCCGAAGCUAACGCGAUAAAUCGACCGCCUGGGGAGUACGGCCGCAAGGUUAAAACUCAAAUGAAUUGACGGGGGCCCGCACAAGCGGUGGAGCAUGUGGUUUAAUUCGAUGCAACGCGAAGAACCUUACCUGGUCUUGACAUCCAUAGAAUCUGGCAGAGAUGCUGGAGUGCCUUCGGGAACUGUGAGACAGGUGCUGCAUGGCUGUCGUCAGCUCGUGUUGUGAAAUGUUGGGUUAAGUCCCGCAACGAGCGCAACCCUUAUCCUUUGUUGCCAGCGAUUAGGUCGGGAACUCAAAGGAGACUGCCGUUGAUAAAGCGGAGGAAGGUGGGGACGACGUCAAGUCAUCAUGGCCCUUACGACCAGGGCUACACACGUGCUACAAUGGCGUAUACAAAGGGAAGCGAAGGUGCGAGCUGGAGCGGACCUCCUAAAGUACGUCUAAGUCCGGAUUGGAGUCUGCAACUCGACUCCAUGAAGUCGGAAUCGCUAGUAAUCGUGAAUCAGAAUGUCACGGUGAAUACGUUCCCGGGCCUUGUACACACCGCCCGUCACACCAUGGGAGUGGGUUGCACCAGAAGUAGAUAGCUUAACCUUCGGGAGGGCGUUUACCACGGUGUGAUUCAUGACUGGGGUGAAGUCGUAACAAGGUAACCGUAGGGGAACCUGCGGUUGGAUCACCUCCUU